RNAcentral lists this long non-coding RNA (296 nucleotides) under Malus domestica (apple). RNAcentral describes it as "long non-coding RNA (MDOM_LNC015154)". Lineage: Eukaryota; Viridiplantae; Streptophyta; Magnoliopsida; Rosales; Rosaceae. The record is from RNAcentral.
AGCGAUGGUGCCACUCCUAUGAUCACAUUUAGCCUCGUGGAUCCCCGUGGUCCCAUUUCUUGAAUAUUAGAAUUUUCACUUGUGGAAUUUUCUAAAUUUCUAGCCAUUAUAUUUUGCUUAUACGUUUUUAUCAAAGAACCCUUGCAAAUAAAAAAUUCUAAUAAUAAGAACGUAUGAAAAAAUAUUCAAAUGGACUAGAAAAUAGAGAAAAACCUUUUUAUGCGAGAGUCUUCUAUGAGUAUGGAUCUCAACUCUCAAUGAAAGCACCAAUUUGUGGAUGCAAAUUUCUUCCUCCU